UACGGGGGGAGCAAGCGUUGUUCGGAUUUACUGGGCGUAAAGGGCGCGUAGGCGGCCACCGCAAGUCGACUGUGAAAUCUCCGGGCUUAACCCGGAAAGGUCAGCCGAUACUGCGGGGCUAGAGUGCAGAAGGGGCAACUGGAAUUCUCGGUGUAGCGGUGAAAUGCGUAGAUAUCGAGAGGAACACCUGCGGCGAAGGCGGGUUGCUGGGCUGACACUGACGCUGAGGCGCGAAAGCUGGGGGAGCGAACGGG
This 254-nucleotide ribosomal RNA is filed under the name uncultured bacterium. Its description in RNAcentral is "partial 16S ribosomal RNA". It matches the Rfam family "Bacterial small subunit ribosomal RNA", at positions 524 to 776 of the family's 1533-position model. The record is from RNAcentral.